GACGAACGCUGGCGGCGUGCUUAACACAUGCAAGUCGAACGGAAAGGCCCUACUUUUGUGGGGUGCUCGAGUGGCGAACGGGUGAGUAACACGUGAGUAACCUGCCCUUGACUUUGGGAUAACUUCAGGAAACUGGGGCUAAUACCGGAUAGGAGCUCCUGCUGCAUGGUGGGGGUUGGAAAAUUUCGGCGGUUGGGGAUGGACUCGCGGCUUAUCAGCUUGUUGGUGGGGUAGUGGCUUACCAAGGCUUUGACGGGUAGCCGGCCUGAGAGGGUGACCGGCCACAUUGGGACUGAGAUACGGCCCAGACUCCUACGGGAGGCAGCAGUGGGGAAUAUUGCACAAUGGGCGGAAGCCUGAUGCAGCAACGCCGCGUGCGGGAUGACGGCCUUCGGGUUGUAAACCGCUUUCGCCUGUGACGAAGCGUGAGUGACGGUAAUGGGUAAAGAAGCACCGGCUAACUACGUG
RNAcentral lists this ribosomal RNA (468 nucleotides) under uncultured bacterium. Its description in RNAcentral is "partial 16S ribosomal RNA". It matches the Rfam family "Bacterial small subunit ribosomal RNA", at positions 28 to 507 of the family's 1533-position model. The record is from RNAcentral.